RNAcentral lists this ribosomal RNA (391 nucleotides) under uncultured bacterium. RNAcentral's name for it is "bacterial SSU rRNA". It matches the Rfam family "Bacterial small subunit ribosomal RNA", at positions 29 to 409 of the family's 1533-position model. The record is from RNAcentral.
AACGAACGCUGGCGGCGCGCCUAAUACAUGCAAGUCGAGCGAGAAGACGUAGCAAUACGUUUGUAAAGCGGCGAACGGGUGAGGAAUACAUGGGUAACCUACCCUCGAGUGGGGAAGUAACUAGCCGAAAGGUUAGCUAAUACCGCGUACGCUCCUUGGACUUCGGUUCAGGGAGGAAAGCGAUACCGUGGGUAUCGCGCUCUUGGAUGGGCUCAUGUCCUAUCAGCUUGUUGGNGAGGUAACGGCUCACCAAGGCUUCGACGGGUAGCUGGUCUGAGAGGACGAUCAGCCACACUGGCACUGCGACACGGGCCAGACUCCUACGGGAGGCAGCAGUAAGGAAUAUUGCGCAAUGGGCGAAAGCCUGACGCAGCGACGCCGCGUGGGGGAG